This 107-nucleotide small nuclear RNA is filed under the name Piliocolobus tephrosceles (Ugandan red Colobus). The record is from RNAcentral. Lineage: Eukaryota; Metazoa; Chordata; Mammalia; Primates; Cercopithecidae.
GUGCUUACUUUGGCAGCACAUAUAGUAAAAUUGGAAUGAUACCGAGAAGAUUACCAUGGCCCUUGUGAAAGUAUUACAUGCAAAUUUGUGAAGUGUUCCAUAUAUAU